GUACACGAGCGGCGAACGGGUGAGUAACACGUGAGCAACCUGCCCUUCUCAUCGGAAUAAGCGUUGGAAACGACGUCUAAUGCCGAAUACGACCUCAGAAGGCAUCUUCAGAGGUGGAAAGCUCCGGCGGAGAAGGAUGGGCUCGCGGCCUAUCAGCUUGUUGGUGGGGUAACGGCCCACCAAGGCGACGACGGGUAGCCGGCCUGAGAGGGUGACCGGCCACACUGGGACUGAGACACGGCCCAGACUCCUACGGGAGGCAGCAGUGGGGAAUAUUGGACAAUGGGCGAAAGCCUGAUCCAGCAACGCCGCGUGAGGGAUGACGGCCUUCGGGUUGUAAACCUCUUUCAGCACCGACGAAGCGAAAGUGACGGUAGGUGCAGAAGAAGGACCGGCCAACUACGUGCCAGCAGCCGCGGUAAUACGUAGGGUCCGAGCGUUGUCCGGAAUUAUUGGGCGUAAAGGGCUCGUAGGCGGUUUGUCGCGUCGGGAGUGAAAACUCAGGGCUCAACCCUGAGCGUGCUUCCGAUACGGGCAGACUAGAGGUAUGCAGGGGAGAACGGAAUUCCUGGUGUAGCGGUGGAAUGCGCAGAUAUCAG
RNAcentral lists this ribosomal RNA (599 nucleotides) under Aeromicrobium halocynthiae. Its description in RNAcentral is "bacterial SSU rRNA". It matches the Rfam family "Bacterial small subunit ribosomal RNA", at positions 87 to 700 of the family's 1533-position model. The record is from RNAcentral. Lineage: Bacteria; Bacillati; Actinomycetota; Actinomycetes; Propionibacteriales; Nocardioidaceae.